Molecule: ribosomal RNA, 309 nt
Filed under: uncultured bacterium
Lineage: Bacteria
Description: bacterial SSU rRNA
Rfam family: Bacterial small subunit ribosomal RNA
Source: RNAcentral
GAUGAACGCUAGCGACAGGCCUAACACAUGCAAGUCGAGGGGUAACAUUGUAGCUUGCUACAGAUGACGACCGGCGCACGGGUGCGUAACGCGUAUGAAACCUACCUUUUACUGGGGGAUAGCCCGAAGAAAUUCGGAUUAACACCCCAUAAUAUAUUUGAUUGGCAUCAAUUAAAUAUUAAAACUCCGGUGGUAGAAGAUGGUCAUGCGUGACAUUAGAUUGUUGGUGAGGUAACGGCUCACCAAGUCAGCGAUGUCUAGGGGUUCUGAGAGGAAGGUCCCCCACACUGGUACUGAGACACGGACCAG